UACGGAGGAUUCAAGCGUUAUCCGGAUUUACUGGGUGUAAAGGGAGCGUAGACGGCAGCGCAAGUCUGGAGUGAAAUCCCAUGGCUUAACCAUGGAACUGCUUUGGAAACUGUGCAGCUGGAGUGCAGGAGAGGUAAGCGGAAUUCCUAGUGUAGCGGUGAAAUGCGUAGAUAUUAGGAGGAACAUCGGUGGCGAAGGCGGCUUACUGGGCUUUUACUGACGCUGAGGCUCGAAAGCGUGGGGAGCAAACAGG
Molecule: ribosomal RNA, 253 nt
Filed under: uncultured Eubacteriales bacterium
Lineage: Bacteria; Bacillati; Bacillota; Clostridia; Eubacteriales
Description: uncultured Clostridiales bacterium partial 16S ribosomal RNA
Rfam family: Bacterial small subunit ribosomal RNA
Source: RNAcentral